Molecule: long non-coding RNA, 548 nt
Organism: Paramisgurnus dabryanus
Lineage: Eukaryota; Metazoa; Chordata; Actinopteri; Cypriniformes; Cobitidae
Source: RefSeq, a predicted model, not a curated record
AAAUACAAUCUCCUAAGUAAUAUUUACUUAUUGUUCGCCAUCUAAUCAAAUCACACCAACAAAUGAACAACUCAAGUAAAAUAUACUCAGUACAGCAAGAUAAUUGAUGCGCAUGCGUAUUUGACUUCGAGUCUGAAGUGGCGCGGACAGAGGAAAGGAAGGGAGACUUCAGGACGGCUAAUUUGAAUUUUACCACGAUAUUUCACCCACUAUUCAAGCUAAUGCAAGAUAAAAAAUUAUUUCAGAAGAAUCACCACAAUUUCCUUGGAGCGUACAUUCUUGUAAAAGCUGGACUUCUAUACCCCCAAACUCCUGGCUUUGUUUGAGAUGAGGGGUGGGGUUGCUGGCAUAAGAAUUAAACAUUUGCUGGAUUCACUGAGCUAGCAAGAAGAUAGCCUUGAAGAUAGGUGAGACGUUGUGAUUCGCUGCCUCCUAUCUUUCCUGGGAGAAUCAGCUAAGGAGCUCAUUGAAGACCACCAGGAUAUCAGCAGAGACAUGAUUAAGGAUACCUUAUUCAGUCAUGUCUUUAAAAUCAUCGUACUGAGCAG